AUUUUAAUCAAGAAACAACUGCAUGACCAAGUGAUGUUGACAAUGCGACUGCAAGAGGAAAAAAGCAUUUUGGUGUUGGAGAUGCACAACACUGCACACGGUUGCAGAGCCUGGCCGUGGUUCUCAAGAACAAGAUAGCUGAGGAGGACAAGGGAAAUGAGGGACUUUGCUGUCUCUUAAGAAGAAGACUGUCAGAUGUGUCAGAAAGGUUGCGAGUGUCCUCCAACAGUACAAGACUGCUUUAGGCCCUGAGGCCUCUGCCCUUCUACAUGUUGAAGCAGAAGAUCAAAGUGGCCUCAGUAGUCCAGACACCAUUGAGGAUGAAGAAGAAAACACUAUUUAGAUGGAAGCUGCACAAAGGACUGUGUUGAAGGAAAUGGACUUGCCCAGUGUCUGUGUAUUUUCCCAUACUACACUGAUUGAUUAACCACAUCAAAAUCUGAAUGCAUUCUAUAUUGUUGAAUAUAAGCCUGUAUCUGUAGAUUGCCAAGCAAUUUAUUAAGCACAUGAAUGUUUCUUGAAGAUGCAUAAACCUUAGUAAAGGAAAGGAAG
Labeo rohita (rohu) is the source of this 552-nucleotide long non-coding RNA. RefSeq lists it as uncharacterized. The transcript has 3 exons. The record is from RefSeq and is a predicted model, not a curated record. Lineage: Eukaryota; Metazoa; Chordata; Actinopteri; Cypriniformes; Cyprinidae.